Vespula vulgaris is the source of this 3242-nucleotide long non-coding RNA. RefSeq lists it as uncharacterized. The record is from RefSeq and is a predicted model, not a curated record. NCBI's taxonomy places the organism in Eukaryota, Metazoa, Arthropoda, Insecta, Hymenoptera, Vespidae. The transcript has 3 exons.
UCCAUACUUUCGAUUUUUAUAUAUUCAUUUAAACAAUACAUGAUGUACAUACAAUACAAUAAACUAAUAUUUAAACAAUUAUACAUUCGCUUAAAAAUUACAUACAUAGUUUGGAAGGUGCAUUAAAUAUAAAAUAAUUUUAUUUUAACAUUUUAAUACUUCUACAUUUUGUGAUUGUUAGCUAAGCGUAAUGUCAACAAAUUCGAACUAUUGAGUGACUUCGAUGAUUCGCGCCUUAGUUUUCUUUCACACUCCGACGAGUAAGCAUCGAAGCUCUAUCUUUCUAAGCGUGUAAACUUAAAAAGUAAUAUUUUCGAAAAUUGUAUAAUUAUUUAAAUAAUAAUUUUUUUCGUUGCUCGUUUAAUGUAAACAACAAAGAACAUUAGAUUGACCGAGUUAAUUAUUACGUUAGUUUUCUUUCGUAGUUCAAGGAUUACAAAUCGAAAUACUCUCUUUCUAUACAACUUCAUUUAGUCAUCUUAUAGAUCCGACGAUUUUUUCGUUGCUCGUUUGUGUAAACAACAAAGAACAUUAGAUUGACCGAGUUAAUUAUUACGUUAGUUUUCUUUCGUAGUUCAAGGAUUACAAAUCGAAAUACUCUCUUUCUAUACAACUUCAUUUAGUCAUCUUAUAGAUCCGACGAUUUUAUAAUUAUAUAAACAAGGUACAAUAUACACGAAAUACGAUAACGUAAUAUUUAGCCUUUGUCGUUCGUCUACUGUAAACAAAAAGAAACAUUAGAUUAACCUCGCGAGUUAUCACGUUAGUUUUCUUUCGUACUCCGAGGAGUAAAGAUCGAAAUACUUUCUUUCCGUACAACUACAUUCAAUCACCUUAUAGAUUCGAUAAUUUUAUAAUUAUUUAAACAAUAUACGAAAUACUCGGAGUAUGAGAGGAUAAUAUUUAAACAAUAAUACCGCAUAGUUCUUAAGAGACGUUAUACGUAAUAUAACUUUCUUUCAGCCUUCAUCGCUCAACUAAUUUCGACAAGAAGGAAUAUUAGAUUAACCUUUGCGAAUUUUCACGUUAGUUUUUUUUCGUACUUCAAGAAUUACAGAUCGAAAUACUCUCUUUUCAUACAACUUCAUUUAGUCAUCUUAUAAAUCCGACGAUUUUAUAAUUAUAUAAACAAGGUACAAUAUACACGAAAUACGAUAACGUAAUAUUUAGGUAAUAGUAUAUUUCGGUAAAGACCAUAUAGCUCUUAAGACCCGUUGUAUAUAUAAUAAAUUUCUUUCAGCCUUUGUCGUUCGUCUACUGUAAACAAAAAGAAACAUUAGAUUAACCUCGCGAGUUAUCACGUUAGUUUUCUUUCGUACUCCGAGGAGUAAAGAUCGAAAUACUUUCUUUCCGUACAACUACAUUUAAUCAUCUUAUAGCCUUCAUCGCUUGACUAAUUUCGACAAGAAGGAACAUUAGAUUAAUCGUUGAGAAUUUUCACAUUAGUUUUUUUUCGUACUUCAAGGAUUAGAGAUCGAAAUACUCUCUUUCCAUACAACUUCAUUUAGUCAUCUUAUAGAUCCGACGUUUUUAUAAUUAUAUAAACAAGGUACAAUAUACACGAAAUGCGAUAACGUAAUAUUUAGGUAAUAGUAUAUUUUAUUAAAGGCCAUAUAGUUCUUAAGACGCGUUGUAUAUAUAAUAAAUUUCUUUCAGUCUUUGUCGCUCGUUAAUGUCAACAAAAAUAUCAUUGGAUUAACCUAUCGAGUUACCACAUUAGUUUUUUUUCCUACUUUGACGACUAAAGAUCAGCAUACUCUCUUUCCGUACGAUUAUAUUUGAUCAUUUUAUAGAUUCAAUAUUUUUUUUUUAGCAGUUUUACUAUAAUUUAUGUUAUAUUUUAUCGCAAGCAAGAUUUAUUAAUAUCUAAUAUCUAAUAUCUAUUUGUACAAAUAGGUAAUAAGAAACAAGAAAUAUAAAAAGUUCAUACAAUUCACAAACAUUCUUCCAUUCAUCUAUCUUUGUAGAAGUAUAAUCUAGCGUAUAAUUUCUUUUUACUUUUGUUAAGAAUUCGAAAAAAUUAUCUCCUUGUUUAUUAAAUUGAAUUAAAUUUCCGAUUUUAAAAUGAGAUCUCGUUCAUCAAAAUUGGUCAAGAAUUACGUCUGGAUUCACUUUUGGUGUAAACCAUUAUAACCUAGAAAAGUAUUAACAAUCUUAAUUUUGUCAAAUUUGUUUCAUAAUUUAUUUUGAAUAACAUUAGUUGAUCAAUAAAAUAUAAAUAUUAGUGGUUAAUAAGUACUAAUUUCUUUCUUUUUCCAAAUUUUUACAAAUAGCAAGUUAAUUGUUGUAUAGGAUAUGCAUUUAUAAUACAACAAGAUACAGAUAUAUAAUAUUGUAAUACUUAAUAUAUACACAUAUACAGUUAUAAAUGAAAACAAAUUGAUAUUUUCAACUUGAAACUUUAUAUGACUUAAAUACAAAAUUUUUACAUCGUUUAUUUAUAAAUUAUGUAUCGAUUAAUUGUAUAUGACUUUUUAUGUUACAUUAAGUUCCAUGUGAAAUUACUCAUGUACAUAAAGAGGUUGUAAUAAAAUAUAUUAAAUAAUAUUACAAAUGCAUUAAUAAAUAUUAACUGAAUUAUAUAACAAUUACUGCAUAAAUAUUUCGAAAUAUUGCAAAAUAAUAUACAAUUUGGCACGAGAAUCGCUUCAAAUAUAUUGUACAAUAAAUCAUGGUUUCUGUGAUAAUAAAUUAAAAUCUAUAUCAUAAAAAAAUGCUAUACUUUUAGAAUCAUUUCCAUUGUAAUGUUAAUGUUACUAAUGGUAAAAGUUUUAUUAUUAUUCUAAAAAUAUGAAUAAUCCUUUCAGCUUAUGUAUCCUCAAAAAUAUUUGAAAGCUAUUGCAUGUAAUAUUCUUUGGAUUAUUUGAUAAUGUUUUCAUAAGGAUUAUUAUUGCAAUAAACUUUAAAGAACUAUUAAGAAUGCUAAUAUCAUCUUACAUAUAUGAAAUAUAUAAUCAAUACUUAAAAAAAAGAUUAUAAACAUAUGAUAUACAAAAUAUAUAUUUCUUUCAUAAGGAAUCGCUUGUUUAGACUGUAAUAACUUCUUUUAAGUAAUACUAACUGAUCAAACUAAGAUGAUAUAAUAACAAUAAUGUAUUGUUGGAGUAUUCCAAAAAAUGGAGUUUAAAGUCUUAGUUAAAAGAAAAAAAAUUAUGGUAUAUUAUCAUGUAAUAUUAUUCCAAAGUUAAAUAGAAAAAUAAAUAAUAACAAUGUUAAAUCAGAUGGUAGAACUAAUUUAUACA